This 492-nucleotide ribosomal RNA is filed under the name uncultured bacterium. Its description in RNAcentral is "partial 16S ribosomal RNA". It matches the Rfam family "Bacterial small subunit ribosomal RNA", at positions 29 to 507 of the family's 1533-position model. The record is from RNAcentral.
AGUGAACGUUGGCGGUAGGCCUAACACAUGCCAGUCGAACGGCAGCACAGUAAGAGCUUGCUCUUACGGGUGGCGAGUGGCGGACGGGUGAGGAAUACAUCGGAAUCUACUUUUUCGUGGGGGAUAACGUAGGGAAACUUACGCUAAUACCGCAUACGACCUACGGGUGAAAGCAGGGGAUCUUCGGACCUUGCGCGAUUGAAUGAGCCGAUGUCGGAUUAGCUAGUUGGCGGGGUAAAGGCCCACCAAGGCGACGAUCCGUAGCUGGUCUGAGAGGAUGAUCAGCCACACUGGAACUGAGACACGGUCCAGACUCCUACGGGAGGCAGCAGUGGGGAAUAUUGGACAAUGGGCGCAAGCCUGAUCCAGCCAUACCGCGUGGGUGAAGAAGGCCUUCGGGUUGUAAAGCCCUUUUGUUGGGAAAGAAAAGCAGCAGGUUAAUACCCCGCUGUUCUGACGGUACCCAAAGAAUAAGCACCGGCUAACUUCGUG